GGCUUCUUAGCUCAAUGGUAGAGCGCAACCCUAGUAAGGUUGAGGUUACGGGUUCGAUCCCCGUAGAAGCCU
This 72-nucleotide transfer RNA is filed under the name Nematocida displodere. It matches the Rfam family "tRNA". From Rfam's summary of the family: Transfer RNA (tRNA) molecules are approximately 80 nucleotides in length. The record is from Rfam by way of RNAcentral. Lineage: Eukaryota; Fungi; Microsporidia.